GACGAACGCUGGCGGCGUGCCUAAUACAUGCAAGUAGAACGCACAGUUUAUACCGUAGCUUGCUACACCAUAAACUGUGAGUUGCGAACGGGUGAGUAACGCGUAGGUAACCUGCCUGGUAGCGGGGGAUAACUAUUGGAAACGAUAGCUAAUACCGCAUAAUAUUGAUUAUUGCAUGAUAAUUGAUUGAAAGAUGCUAUUGCAUCACUACCAGAUGGACCUGCGUUGUAUUAGCUAGUAGGUGAGGUAACGGCUCACCUAGGCGACGAUACAUAGCCGACCUGAGAGGGUGAUCGGCCACACUGGGACGGAGACACGGCCCAGACUCCUACGGGAGGCAGCAGUAGGGAAUCUUCGGCAAUGGACGAAAGUCUGACCGAGCAACGCCGCGUGAGUGAAGAAGGUUUUCGGAUCGUAAAGCUCUGUUGUAAGAGAAGAACGGGUGUGAGAGUGGAAAGUUCACACUGUGACGGUUUCUUACCAGAAAGGGACGGCUAACUACGUG
Molecule: ribosomal RNA, 505 nt
Filed under: uncultured bacterium
Lineage: Bacteria
Description: partial 16S ribosomal RNA
Rfam family: Bacterial small subunit ribosomal RNA
Source: RNAcentral